GCGAGUCUUUGUAGUAAUACAAGGCAUACGGCUCAGUAACGCGUAGUCAACCUACCCUAUGGACAAGAAUAAUCUCGGGAGACUGAGCAUAAUUCUUGACAGAUCAUAAUGCCUGGAAUGGUUUAUGGUUAAAAUGAUUCGUCGCCAUAGGAUGGGACUGCGGCCUAUCAGCUUGUUGGUGAGGUAAUGGCCCACCAAGGCGAUUACAGGUACGGGCUCUGAGAGGAGAAGCCCGGAGAUGGGUACUGAGACACGGACCCAGGCCCUAUGGGGCGCAGCAGGCGAGAAAACUUUGCAAUGUGCGAAAGCACGACAAGGUUAAUCCGAGUGAUUUCUGCUAAAGAAAUCUUUUGCAAGUCAUAAAACCACUAGUGAAUAAGGGGUGGGCAAGUUCUGGUGUCAGCCGCCGCGGUAAAACCAGCACCUCAAGUGGUCAGGAGGAUUAUUGGGCCUAAAGCAUCCGUAGCCGGCUCUGUAAGUUUUCGGUUAAAUCCAUGUGCUCAACGCAUGGGCUGCCGAAAAUACUGCAUAGCUAGGGAGUGGGAGAGGUAGACGGUACUCGGUAGGAAGGGGUAAAAUCCUUUGAUCUAUCGAUGACCACCUGUGGCGAAGGCGGUCUACCAGAACACGUUCGACGGUGAGGGAUGAAAGCUGGGGGAGCAAACCGGAUUAGAUACCCGGGUAGUCCCAGCUGUAAACGAUGCAGACUCGAUGAUGCAUUGGCAUAUAGCC
This 732-nucleotide ribosomal RNA is filed under the name uncultured archaeon. Its description in RNAcentral is "bacterial SSU rRNA". It matches the Rfam family "Archaeal small subunit ribosomal RNA", at positions 53 to 791 of the family's 1478-position model. The record is from RNAcentral.